CAUGAGUUUGAUCCUGGCUCAGGAUGAACGCUAUUAGUGUGUUUUAUACAUGCAAGUUGUACGAAUUAUUUCGUAGCAAACGGGUGAGGAACUAAUACAAAAUUUUACCAUUUAGUUGAGAAUAAAACGUUUUUUAAAAUUAUUAAAAUAAUUUUAAAAUUAAUAAAUUUUUACGUUAAUGCUCCGUUUUUAUUACUCAGUAAUAAAUUGAAAAACUAUAAUAUUAAUUUUUAUAGUUGCUAAUUAUUGAUACCUUUGUAUAAGAUUAGGUUGUUGAUAAUUUUAACAUUUUAUCAAGCCUAUGAUCUUUAGUUGGUCUGAAAGGAUGAUCAACCACACUGGGACUGAGAUACGGCCCAGACUCAAUUUUGAGUCAGCAGUAAAGAAUCUUGGACAAUGAACGCAAGUUUGAUCCAGCAACACUAUUUGAAUGAUUGACAGCUAUAAUUUGGUUGUAAAGUUCUUUCGUUAAAAUUGAUAAUGACAAUUUAAAGAAGUUAUAGUCCUAGCUAAUCUCGUGCCAGCAGCUGCGGUAAAACGUGAAGGGCAAGCGUUAUCCAGAUUAACUCGGCGUAAAGUGUUCGUAGACGGUAAAGCAAGUUAUUUGUUAAACUUUAAAGCUUAACUUUAAAUUAGCUUAUAAUACUACUUUACUUGAGUUUUUUAUAAAAAGAUAGAAUUUUAAAUGGAGGGUUAAUCAUCCAAAGAUAUUUAAAGGAACACCUAAAGCGAAAGCAAUUUUUUAAUAAAAACUGACGUUGAGGGACGAAAGUACAGUUAGCAAACAGGAUUAGAUACCCUGGUAGUCUGUACUGUAAAUUAUGAAUGCUGUAAUUUAACAUAUGAUUUUGUUAGAUUUUUUAAGCUAACAGCCAUAAGCAUUCCGCCUGAGAAGUACGAUCGCAAGUUUGAAACUCAAAGGAAUUGACGGGGGCCUGCUACUAUCGGUGGAGCAUGUGAUUUAAUGCGAUAAUCCGCGCAAAACCUUACCAAUCCUUGAUAUAAGUAAAUUUAAUAAAUUUUUUAAUUUUAAAAAUUCGUUGAUUUUUUUACAGGUGUUGCACGACUGUCGUCAGCUCGUGUUGUGAAACGUUUGGUUCAUUCCUUUAACGAGCAAAACUCUUAUUUUUAAUUGUCUUAAUUUUACGUUUAUUUAAAUUUUUAUUUUAAAAUUUAAAAUCCGCUUUAAAAAAACAGCCAGUGAUGAAUUGGAGGAAGAUAAGAAUAAAGUCAAGUCUCUGUGGCCCUUAUGGAUUGGGCUAUACACGUGCUACAAUGAAAAUUACAAUAAGUUACAAAAAAUUAAAAUUUUAGUUAAUCUCUUAAAAGUUUUCGUAGUUCGAAUUAUAAACUGAAACCCGUUUAUAUGAAGUUGGAAUCGAUAGUAAUCGCAAAUCAUAAUGUUGCGGUGAAUAUGUACACUGGUCUUGCACACACCGCCCGUCACAUCCGAAGAAUUAAUUUUGCUUGAAGAUUUUUUCUAAAUCCAUUGAAAAAUUAAUAAUUUGGAUGAAGUCGUAACAAGGUAGCUUUACGGGAACGUGUAGCUGGAACA
Molecule: ribosomal RNA, 1555 nt
Filed under: Asterionellopsis glacialis
Lineage: Eukaryota; Bacillariophyta; Plagiogrammaphyceae; Rhaphoneidales; Asterionellopsidaceae
Description: Bacterial small subunit ribosomal RNA
Rfam family: Bacterial small subunit ribosomal RNA
Source: RNAcentral